CCUACGGGAGGCAGCAGUGGGGGAUAUUGCACAAUGGGGGGAACCCUGAUGCAGCGACGUCGCGUGAGCGAAGAAGUACCUCGGUAUGUAAAGCUCUAUCAGCAGGGAAGAAAAUGACGGUACCUGACUAAGAAGCCCCGGCUAAAUACGUGCCAGCAGCCACGGUAAUACGUAGGGUGCAAGCGUUAUCCCGAUUUACUGGGUGGAAAGGGAGCGCAGGCGGGCUGCCAAGUCUGGUGUGAAAACGCGGGGCCCAACCCCGGGCCUGCAGUGGAAACUGGCGGGCUGGAGUGUCGGAGGGGCAGGCGGAAUUCCUGGUGUAGCGGUGAAAUGCGUAGAUAUUAGGAGGAACACCGGUGGCGAAGGCAGCCUACUGGACGAUGACUGACGCUGAGGCUCGAAAGCGUGGGGAGCGAACAGGAUUAGAUACCCGAGUAGUC
Molecule: ribosomal RNA, 440 nt
Filed under: uncultured bacterium
Lineage: Bacteria
Description: partial 16S ribosomal RNA
Rfam family: Bacterial small subunit ribosomal RNA
Source: RNAcentral